Molecule: long non-coding RNA, 128 nt
Organism: Phyllostomus discolor (pale spear-nosed bat)
Lineage: Eukaryota; Metazoa; Chordata; Mammalia; Chiroptera; Phyllostomidae
Exons: 3
Source: RefSeq, a predicted model, not a curated record
GUUUGCAAAGUUUCAUACUGAAGAUUUCCUGCUUAAUGAUGCUCCAUGGUCUGGUAGACCUGUUGAAGUUGAUUGCAAUGAAAUUGAGAAAUUAAUUGAGAACAACCACCUUUAUUACAUGGGAGAGG